RNA transcript from Nannospalax galili (Upper Galilee mountains blind mole rat), 8547 nucleotides. It is a transcript of the gene named angiomotin like 1, with no coding region annotated. The record is from RefSeq and is a predicted model, not a curated record. NCBI's taxonomy places the organism in Eukaryota, Metazoa, Chordata, Mammalia, Rodentia, Spalacidae. The transcript has 14 exons.
GGACGGGCUCUAGGGCCCAGCGGUGGGGCCCGGGCAGGGAGGAGUGUAGGAUUCCGGACCUGCCCCGGGACCCUCCAGCGCAGCGCUGGGCUCGGGAGCGCGCGUGGCGCUCGCUCUGGGACCAGGCAGCGGGGUGGGUGGGGACUGCAGGGGAAGCCCUGGCAUCUCUGCUUCCCGAAUGCAGGGCGCGGCAGCCCGCAGCCAUCCCCCUGCCGCCACUGCGAGCCAUGCUCACCCCAUGAUCCGCCCGUGAUCGCCCAUGCGGAGGGCAAAGUCGCGCCGGGGACCUGGCGAGCCAGCGCCGAGAGCUCCCCCUCCUGUGUGUUACAGCCCCAGCAGUCCUGCGCAGGUUCUAGAAGACGCUGCCUACUUUUACCAAGACUUCCAGCUCUACUCUGGGAGGCAUGAAGCGUCAGCUUUGACUUUAGAGGCAAGCGGUGGCCUAAGAGGGAAAGGUGUGGAGGACCCUCUCUCUACCUUCCACUCCCCAAACUUCCUGAGGCCCUCAGAGGUGGACAUGAGAGGUUCUGAGGAUGCGGCAGCUGGAACAGUGUUACAGCGGCUGAUCCAGGAACAACUGCGCUAUGGCACCCCGACCGAGAACAUGAACUUGCUGGCCAUUCAGCACCAGGCCACAGGGAGUGCAGGGCCAGCCCACGCCACCAACAACUUUUCUUCCACAGAAACCCUCACUCAAGAAGACCCACAAAUGGUCUACCAGUCAGCUCGCCAAGAACCGCAGGGUCAAGAACACCAGGGGGACGGUACGGUGAUGGAGAAGCAGGUCCGGUCCACGCAGCCCCAACAGAACAAUGAGGAGCUGCCCACCUACGAGGAGGCCAAAGCUCAGUCGCAGUUCUUCAGGGGCCAGCAGCAGCAGCAGCAGCAGCAACAACAACAGCAGCAGCAGCCCCCACAGCAGCAGGGACAGGGGCCUCUGGGCCACAGCUACUACAUGGCUGGGGGCACCAGUCAGAAGUCUCGCACUGAAGGGAGGCCCACAGUGAACCGGGCCAACAGUGGACAGGCGCACAAGGAUGAGGCCCUGAAAGAACUCAAGCAGGGCCACGUUCGCUCCCUUAGCGAGAGGAUCAUGCAGCUGUCACUGGAGAGGAAUGGGGCUAAGCAACACCUCCCCGGCCCGGGAAAUGGGAAGGGCUUCAAAGCUGGAGGGGGACCCUCCCCAGCCCAGCCUGCCUGUAAAGCACUGGACCCUCGUGGUCCUCCACCCGAGUACCCCUUCAAGGCCAAGCCAAUGAUGUCCCCAGUCAGCAAGAAUCAAGACCAUGGACUUUACUACAGCGACCAGCACCCUGGAGUUCUGCACGAGAUGGUGAAGCCUUACCCGGCACCUCAGCCUGCGAGAACAGAAGUGGCCGUCCUGAGGUACCAGCCGCCCCCGGAGUACGGGGUCACCAGCCGUCCGUGCCAGCUCCCAUUCCCAUCCACGGUGCAGCAGCACAGCCCCGUGUCCUCGCAGACAUCCUCCAUCAGCGGGCCUCUGCACUCCGUCUCCCUGCCACUUCCCCUUCCUAUGACCCUGGCGGCUCCACAGCCCCCGUCAGCAUCACCCAGCCAGCAGCUUGGACCAGAUGCCUUUGCCAUUGUGGAGAGGGCCCAGCAGAUGGUGGAGAUCCUCACAGAGGAGAACCGCGUGCUUCACCAGGAGCUUCAGGGUUACUACGACAACGCAGACAAGCUUCACAAGUUUGAAAAAGAACUGCAGAGGAUCUCAGAAGCCUAUGAAGGCCUGGUCAAGUCCACCACCAAGCGCGAGUCCCUGGACAAGGCAAUGAGAAACAAGCUGGAGGGCGAGAUCAGACGACUUCAUGAUUUCAACAGAGACCUCCGAGAUCGACUGGAGACAGCCAACAGGCAGCUGUCCAGCAGGGACUAUGACGAGCAGGAGGACAAAGCUGCAGAGGGGCAGUACGCAUCCCAGAACAAAGAAAUCUUGAAGGAAAAGGAAAAGUUGGAAAUGGAGUUAGCGGCAGUGCGGACCGCGAGCGAAGACCAUCGAAGACACAUCGAGAUCCUGGACCAGGCCUUGAGCAAUGCCCAGGCGAGAGUGAUCAAACUGGAGGAGGAGCUACGAGAGAAGCAAGCCUACGUGGAUAAGGUUGAGAAGCUGCAGCAGGCCCUGACGCAGCUGCAGUCGGCGUGCGAGAAGCGCGAGCAGAUGGAGCGCAGGCUGAGGACCUGGCUGGAGAGGGAGCUGGACGCGCUGCGGACCCAGCAGAAACAUGGAAAUGGCCAGGCAGCCAGCGUGCCAGAAUGCAAUGCCCCGGCCCUCAUGGAGCUCCUGCGGGAGAAGGAGGAGAGGAUCCUGGCCCUGGAGGCCGACAUGACCAAGUGGGAGCAAAAGUACCUGGAGGAGAGCACCAUCCGGCACUUUGCCAUGAGUGCCGCAGCCGCUGCCGCAGCCGAGAGGGAUACCACCAUCAUCAACCACUCGAGGAAUGGCAGCUACGGAGAGAGCUCGCUGGAGGCCCACAUCUGGCAGGAGGAGGAGGAGGUGGUGCAGGCCAACAGGAGGUGUCAGGACAUGGAGCACACUAUUAAAAACCUCCAUGCCAAAAUCAUAGAGAAGGAUGCCAUGAUAAAGGUCCUUCAGCAGAGGUCCCGUAAGGACGCUGGGAAAACAGACUCUUCCAGCCUACGGCCUGCCCGCUCUGUCCCGUCCAUCGCUGCAGCCACUGGGACACAUUCGCGCCAGACCUCGCUUACCAGCAGUCAACUGGCAGAGGAGAAGAAGGAAGAGAAGAUCUGGAAGGGAAGCAUAGGUUUGCUGCUGGGGAAGGAGCACCAGGAGCUGGCGUCUGUGCCCCUGCUGGCCCCGCCUGCCUCUGCACUGGCCCCUCCGGCUCCCACCACAUCAGCUAGCAGCGCCCACGCCAAGACAGACAGCAAGGACAGCAGCACGCAGACCGACAAGAGCACCGAGCUUUUCUGGCCUAGCAUGGCCUCCCUCCCCAGCCGUGGCAGGCUGAGCACCACCCCAUCCAACAGCCCCAUCCUGAAACACCCAGCUGCCAAAGGGACCGUGGAGAAACUGGAGAACUCUCCUGCCCAUGGGAAGUCACCAGACCACAGAGGCCGCGUCAGCAGCUUGCUGCACAAGCCCGAGUUCCCGGAUGGAGAGAUGAUGGAAGUGCUCAUCUAAACUCCUGUGGAGUUUCACACCAGCAUGCUCACAGACAGGAAAAGAGGCAGAGAGGGGGAAGAAAGAUCCAGAAGGAAGCACGUGUGAAACCCGGACUGGUGUGAACAGACAACUCCAGAUUCAAAAGAACACGUCUGUAAAUGUUACCUAAGCAGCAGGCGUCUGUGAUGCAGAGAAGAGAAUGUGAUGGAGUUUUAGCGUGGAGAGUGGGGGAAAGAUGCACCUGCAGGCUGGAUGCAGCGUUAAGAAGAAACAGGAGCGGAAUUUUCCACUGUAGGCAUUGUUCGUUAGGGGAAGAAUCUGUGCUCCUCCAUUCUUGGGUUAUAAACAGAUAAACCCAAACUGGGCCUUCCUUGGAACAACCCCAUUCUCUGCCUCUUAGCAUGUUUGUUUUAAGAAGAACCUGCUAGGAAUCUGUAGAGCCCAUCUUGAUAUAACACAAUAUUGCCGUGCCAUCCUGGAGUGUCCUGAGAGAGAGAGAGAGAGAGAGAGAGAGAGAGAGAGAGAGAGUCCUUUGGAGACACUUCCAGGGUGAUGGGGAAUUCCAAGCAGGCAGUUUUGCUACCUACUUAGCUGUUUGGCUUGUGUUUUGGGGAGUGUGCGGCUUCUUUGCUUGUCUGGAUUCAGUUGUAUUUCUCACACAGGAUGGGCCACGAUGACAUUGGUCCUCAUUCACCUGACUUCUCUGAGCUUAUUUCUGUCUCUGCUCUACCUGGUUUUGUCCCUUCACUUUAUUUUAUUUUUCCAGUUUAGUGAGACGUGGAGAGUUCCUUAUGAAACUCUCAUCCUUGCUGUGGUGCCCAAUAGAACAGAGCCUCGUGCUGGCUCUCCUCCACCUGUGCCAGCCUCGUGCUGCCUCUCCUGGCUGCUUCUUCCACCAUUGCUGGCCUGGGCUGCAACUGUUAAUCUCAUUGUGAGCUGGGGAAGCCUGGCUGAGGCGUAGGAGUCUAAGUCCAUGGCAUCUUGUAUCCUGAUCCUGCCUCUGCCUUGAUUUUCUCUCCUGUCUGGUCUCUUGUGUGGAGCUUGAUGUUUACCCCUAUUUCCUGUUGGAGGAAGACUUCAAGGUACAGCUUCAGGAACCCGAUGAUGGUCACACAGCUACCCAGGCCACACCUAGCACCUCACCAGGCAGCCCUGGACCACUUUCCUGUAUCUGGGACUCUAGAGCCUGUUUCCUGUGCCCCGUGUCCCAAGCUGUGCUCUUGAUUGCUCUUGGUGAGCACAUAGCCUUCCCUGAUCCUUUUUACCCCUGCUGUGAACUUCCUUUGUCACCCCUCUGGUCAGUAGAUACACGGUGUGGUCAGUGUUUCACCAGGGAGGCGACUGACCCAAGUGAGGCAGUGAUGCCAAGGGAAUGAGCCAGUGUGUGCGAAGGGGCGGGGCUCUGCCCUGAUGAAGGCUCAGGUACAAUGCUGUGGACCUUGGCUUCCAGGAGAGCAUGGGAGGAAGGGGCUCAGGAAGGAGGAGAGGCUGAUGGGGUAGAUGGCCCUGCAGGGCUCUAAACUGUCCUCCAGCUCAGCAGGAUUUGCUUUCCUGGGUCUCUUCCCACAUGGCUACUUUUCCCUUAAAGGAAAAAAGAAAUCUGUAGGUCUGUGAGCUGGUAAGUUACCUCUGAAAGGCAGCACUGAAGAUGGUGCUGUUCAAGGAGCUUAGCUUUGGUCAUAUGAUCCAGGACUGGCCUCUGGAAUAUAAACUGAAUAAGUUACGGCCUCCCCAGGUUGAGAUGGUGAGGGACAGUGAGAAGUGUAGGCUGGAGAGGAGAGGAGGAGGAAGGGGAAACCAGUGGCUUCAGCGGCUCCUGAGCCAUCUGACAGGACAGAGGUGGGAUUGACCCUCCCUGGCUCCCUUCCACAGUGGGCACAGGUCUGGAGCUACCCACCCACUCCCUUCCUCUUCCCUUCCCACACUGAGCAUCGUAGUAUCGUACAGAAUGGGAAACUGAGAGCUCUGAUAGCCUGAGUACUAAGCUUGCCCUGUGCCCUGUGGGAUGAGAAGACGUGUAGGAGAUCUGCCAGUUAGAGAGGGGCCGAGGGUGGGGGUUCAAGGACAGAUGCAGGUGGGGUUGAGGACCACUUUUCGCAAGGUAUUAAGUUCAGUCCUGGCAACUGACUCUCUCAAGGGCAUAUUGUCCCCAGUUAAUGCUGGAGACAAACCAGAAAGGAAGGUGUGGAGAGAUUUAAAUAAGCAAGCUGUGCCCGAGCCAUCCCAAACUCCCCUGUCACUCAGCGCAGCCAAGAGCCAUCCAAAGCCUGCUCUCUGUACUUCAGAACAGACCAGAUGUGGCAGUUUUCAGGGAACUUAGUGCUCCUUUUACGGGAGAUCUGCCAGGCCAGGUCAGUCUUCCACCUUAGAUCGCUAGACGCCUUGUGGGCACGAAGGACAGAGGAGCUGCAGGGCUCUGCAACCACCAGGCUCUAGGUAAGUCACAGGAUCUGCUCUCAUGUGAAUUUGAGAAGAUGCUAGAUAGGUGUUUUGUUUGAUUUUUUUCAGUGCUGGCUAUAUGCAGAGACUGGGCUAAGGCCUUUUUAACUAGUCCUCAAAGCCCCAGAGGAGCAAAGCCACAUUUACUCUCCCGAUUGCACUAAACCAGACCUCCUAUAAACGCCCAUCGACACCAGGCACGGGUGAAGUCUGUGUUCUGUUAUAUACACAACUACAAAUGAGCUCUAAAGUCCUUCCUCACUGUGCAGAGGCCUGGUCUGCAGCUCUUCUCCCAGGGGUGUCUGAUGGUAGAGGCUGAAGGUCCUGGCUCAGGUGAAGAUUAAAGACUGUGCCUUUUAGUGACAGUUGACCAGCAUUGUUCUCGAGUGGACAGUGUGGUGAGGUCUGCAUGGAACAUGAAGAGUGGUUGAGGUCAGGUCUCUGCCACUGAAGUGUCGCUAAGGAGAUGGUUCUGUAUAUAAAAACUAGCACUAUCUGGAUGUUUAUGGAGCUAAGCUGCCAGGAAAAAAAACAGUGUUUUCCAAAAACUUCAGGGCCUGUGCAGAACACAGCAUUGUUCUCUCUGCUUUCCAAAGACUGGUGACCAUGGAGCUCAGUUGUUCCCACCAUGCCCUGAUCAUCCCCAGCUUGUAUUUGGGGGAGGGCAUGGAGUGGGGGAGCCCUAUUUCAGUCCUACAAGGGUUUCUCUUUGGAACUCAGGCAUGAGCUCCCUCAUCAGGGCUAGGAGUGGAUUUCAGGACAGAGAAUCUAGUGGUGCUGGCACUCAGAGAAGAGGUUCGUGUGCCCCUCCGAGAGGCAAGCCAUGCCUUCUACUAGUUCUCUCCUGGGUUGACCUCAGCACUAUACCCACAUGAUGUAGAGGCUGAGGCAUCUUCAUUCAAGUGCUGAUGAGCUGAGAACUCCUCCCUGAGUCCCAGAGACACGUGUGAACAGUCAGGAGAGGCUGGAGUCCUGAGUCCCGGAGACACGUGUGAACAGUCAGGAGAGGCUGGAGUCCAGGGAGGCAGUCAAGAAGAGGUAAAAGGGUUUCAAGGCAGACAGUUCACAUGCAGACUGCAGAGAGCUGUGCUAAGCAACAGGUGUUCUCCAAACAAGUCUUCCCAUCUGCACUGGAACACACGGAAUGUGUUUGUGUUCUGUGAAUGAUCUCAUGCUCCUGUUAAGCAAAGGAGUCUUGUGGCCAUUGGAAAUGCGAUCUCACCUAUGUUCUUAAAUGGUGAAGCAAGAGACUAAGCAACCAGCAGCCACUCUCCCCAAGGCUGAGACGGCCACGGUGUAUGUGUGUGUGUGUGUGUAUGUGCGUGUGUAUGUGUGUGUAUGUGUGGGGGGGCUCCCUUCUUUUUUUUUCCUAAUCGUGUUUUAACCUUUGUGUGGUGUGAGGAUUGUUAUACAUAUGCCUCUGAUGGCCUGUGAUGUGGUUCCACGGGAGGUAGGCAGGCUGAGAAGAUAGGGAAGCCCUCAGCCUAGUGAGCAGUAUUUUUCUUUUAAGUCUUAUACCCCUUUCUCAUUUAGUAAUUUAAUGGUAUAUUAUGAUGUGUAUGUAUAAGCACAUCCAUAGAAGGCAAGCUUUCUUUUCUUAGUAUCCAGAAAAUCCAAUUUUCCACCCGUUGAGGUCUCUUUAGGAGGGUCACAGAGCUUCCCAGCCAUAGAAAUAGUUGUGAACUUUCCUGGAAAAGCGGCCUCCAAGGUCUGCAUGUUUCUUUGAGUCCCCUUGUGGUGAGAAAUCCUUGUCUUCUGAGAAUGGGUUUAAGUCCUAGAAAUAAUCUCAAAUUGUUCAUAGCACAGAUGAAUGAAUACAGAGAACUCCAAGGUGAAGCAGAAAUCCUGUGGUGGGAGAGAUGGCUCCGUCGAUAAAGGCACUGCUGCCAAGGCUGAUGACCUGAGUUUGAGUCCCAGGAUCCAUGUGGUGGAAAGAGAGACCUGAUUCCUGAAAGCUGUCCUCUGACCUCCACAUGCAUGCACGGCACAUACAUAUACACUCAUGAACACAAAAUAAAUAUUUUUUAAAAAAUUUUAAGAGAAUAUCUAAGACAUGUUGGAAAAGAGACUUUGGACUCAAAGCCUCUGACCUCUGAACCUGGUGAUUCAAGGAAGGACUGUACUCAUUAGUACGUGUGACUGCUAGGAGCCUCAUUUUCAAAUCCACAUCGCUUGCCAGGCCUCGUAUGUGUUCACACCCCUACAUACACUACGGACCUAAGUACAUAUUCACUAGUGUGAACAGCUGGUAGGUAUUCUGUGAAAUGGAGAUAUACCUAAGUGCAUGUUAUCGUCAUGUGUGCUGUGACUGGGGUGCCAUGUCUUUGUCAUGAGACUUUGCUUCUUCUCAGAGUUAAGGCUCUGCCCUCUGAUCAAGGCAGUUCAUAUACAGCAUUUUCUUGUAUCAGCUCCUGGAGUUUUGCCGCCUAGUGUUGUGUUUACAUGUGACUUUGCCUAGGACUCUGUUCUCACACACAUACCUGUGAGUAUUUAUUACAAAGUGAAAUGGGAACAGGUUUGUCCACAGUGGUUUUAUUUGAAUGGAGGUGUUUUUUGCUUUCGAGGAGGGAUGGUGCAGCCCCUUCCUCAAUGAGGCACUGACAGAAUCAGUGGCAAAUUCUGUGAAGUAGGGCCGACGCAGGCUCCAGCUUCAGCCUGACUUGGAGCCCCUGCCCCUCCUGUCCUGUGCGUGUCACUGUGUUGGAGGUGUGUGCCACACUUCCUGGUAGAUUCUGGUAUCCAGGCAUAACCUUUGGCAUCUUUGUGUCACUGGACUUUUAUCAAGGGGUAGAAUACAGAUCUGUAUAGCUGGAUGGGUCCGUGUGCAGAAAGAGGGAGUCCAGGAACACUGUGGGUCUCUUGCCCCAUGAAUAUGGAUACCGUCGGUCAGCCAAAGAUUUUCCUAUCCUUUGCUGCUUAAACUUGUGCCUUAAUAUUGUAUAUAAUAAAUGGAUAAAACAGCA